UGUCCGAUGGUGUAAUGGCAGCACAGGAGAUUUUGGUUCUCUUAGUCUAGGUUCGAAUCCUGGUCGGACAACAA
Molecule: transfer RNA, 74 nt
Filed under: Bacteroidales bacterium
Lineage: Bacteria; Pseudomonadati; Bacteroidota; Bacteroidia; Bacteroidales
Description: tRNA-Gln
Rfam family: tRNA
About the family: Transfer RNA (tRNA) molecules are approximately 80 nucleotides in length.
Source: RNAcentral